UACAGAGGUCUCAAGCGUUGUUCGGAUUCAUUGGGCGUAAAGGGUGCGUAGGCGGCGUGGUAAGUCGGGUGUGAAAUCUCGGAGCUUAACUCCGAAACUGCAUUCGAUACUGCCGUGCUUGAGGACUGGAGAGGAGACUGGAAUUUACGGUGUAGCGGUGAAAUGCGUAGAUAUCGUAAGGAAGACCAGUGGCGAAGGCGGGUCUCUGGACAGUUCCUGACACUGAGACACGAAGGCCAGGGGAGCAAACGGG
RNAcentral lists this ribosomal RNA (253 nucleotides) under uncultured bacterium. RNAcentral's name for it is "partial 16S ribosomal RNA". It matches the Rfam family "Bacterial small subunit ribosomal RNA", at positions 524 to 776 of the family's 1533-position model. The record is from RNAcentral.